This 484-nucleotide ribosomal RNA is filed under the name uncultured bacterium. Its description in RNAcentral is "partial 16S ribosomal RNA". It matches the Rfam family "Bacterial small subunit ribosomal RNA", at positions 30 to 507 of the family's 1533-position model. The record is from RNAcentral.
AUUGAACGCUGGCGGCAGGCCUAACACAUGCAAGUCGAGCGGAUGAAGGGAGCUUGCUCCUGGAUUCAGCGGCGGACGGGCGAGUAAUGCCUAGGAAUCUGCCUGGUAGUGGGGGAUAACGUCCGGAAACGGGCGCUAAUACCGCAUACGUCCUGAGGGAGAAAGUGGGGGAUCUUCGGACCUCACGCUAUCAGAUGAGCCUAGGUCGGAUUAGCUAGUUGGUGGGGUAAAGGCCUACCAAGGCGACGAUCCGUAACUGGUCUGAGAGGAUGAUCAGUCACACUGGAACUGAGACACGGUCCAGACUCCUACGGGAGGCAGCAGUGGGGAAUAUUGGACAAUGGGCGAAAGCCUGAUCCAGCCAUGCCGCGUGUGUGAAGAAGGUCUUCGGAUUGUAAAGCACUUUAAGUUGGGAGGAAGAGCAGUAAGUUAAUACCUUGCUGUUUUGACGUUACCAACAGAAUAAGCACCGGCUAACUUCGUG